This 271-nucleotide ribosomal RNA is filed under the name unidentified marine bacterioplankton. RNAcentral's name for it is "partial 16S ribosomal RNA". It matches the Rfam family "Bacterial small subunit ribosomal RNA", at positions 47 to 339 of the family's 1533-position model. The record is from RNAcentral.
CCUAACACAUGCAAGUCGAGCGAGGUAGCAAUACCUAGCGGCAGACGGGUGCGGUAAACAUCGUGGGAAUCGUGCCUUUUGGUUCGGAACAACACGGGGAUACCUGUGCUAAUACCGGAUAAGUCCUUACGGGAGAAAGGUUUUAAUGCCAAAAGAUGAGCCCGCAUUUGAUUAGGCUAGUUGGUGAGGUAAAAGCUCACCAAGGCGAUAAUCAAUAGCUGGUUUGAGAGGAUGAUCAGCCACACUGGGACUGAGAUACGGCCCAGGCUCC